RNAcentral lists this transfer RNA (66 nucleotides) under Lampsilis cardium. RNAcentral describes it as "tRNA-Trp". It matches the Rfam family "tRNA". Rfam says of the family: Transfer RNA (tRNA) molecules are approximately 80 nucleotides in length. Their secondary structure includes four short double-helical elements and three loops (D, anti-codon, and T loops). Further hydrogen bonds mediate the characteristic L-shaped molecular structure. tRNAs have two regions of fundamental functional importance: the anti-codon, which is responsible for specific mRNA codon recognition, and the 3' end, to which the tRNAs corresponding amino acid is attached (by aminoacyl-tRNA synthetases). tRNAs cope with the degeneracy of the genetic code in two manners: having more than one tRNA (with a specific anti-codon) for a particular amino acid; and 'wobble' base-pairing, i.e. permitting non-standard base-pairing at the 3rd anti-codon position. The record is from RNAcentral. Lineage: Eukaryota; Metazoa; Mollusca; Bivalvia; Unionida; Unionidae.
AGAGAUUUAAGUUAAUAAAAACUAAUAGCCUUCAAAGCUUUAAUUGAUACUUAAAAUCAAUCUCUA